Molecule: ribosomal RNA, 458 nt
Filed under: uncultured bacterium
Lineage: Bacteria
Description: partial 16S ribosomal RNA
Rfam family: Bacterial small subunit ribosomal RNA
Source: RNAcentral
CUACGGGGCGCUGCAGUAAGGAAUAUUGCGCAAUGGAGGCAACUCUGACGCAGCCAUGCCGCGUGCAGGAAGAAGGCCUUAUGGGUCGUAAACUGCUUUUAUUUAGGAAUAAACCCCCGAACGUGUUCGGGGCUGAAGGUACUAAACGAAUAAGCACCGGCUAACUCCGUGCCAGCAGCCGCGGUAAUACGGAGGGUGCAAGCGUUAUCUGGUUUAUUGGGUUUAAGGGGUGCGCAGGCGGGCUAUUAAGUCAGUGGUGAAAUCCCGGGGCUCAACUCCGGGACUGCCAUUGAUACUGAUAGUCUUGAGUUUGGUUGAAGUGGGCGGAAUGUAGCAUGUAGCGGUGAUAUGCAUAGAUAUGCUACAGAACACCAAUCGCGAAGGCAGCUCACUAAGCCAAAACUGACGCUCAUGCACGAAAGCGUGGGGAUCAAACAGGAUUAGAUACCCCCGUAGUC